This 171-nucleotide non-coding RNA is filed under the name uncultured Prevotella sp. The record is from RNAcentral. Lineage: Bacteria; Pseudomonadati; Bacteroidota; Bacteroidia; Bacteroidales; Prevotellaceae.
UUGGUUCACACAGAUGUGAUUAAAAGGGAAACAGGUGAGAGUCCUGUACAGUCCCGCUGCUGUGAGCUGUCAUUAUUGAGACCGACAACGGGCCACUGGCACAUUGUAAUCCGCCGGGAAGGCAGUCGGUCUUGCACGACAGCGAAGUCAGAAGACCUGCCGUCAGUUAUG